AAAAUUUAUAAUCCAAAAAGAAUUGAAGUAAUAUUAUUUUACAAACCACAUAAUAGCUGUGAAAAAAAGGUACAAUUUGUCAUAUUGUGUUUCAUAAAAUAUAUCACUUUAAUAUCGUAUAGUUUGUAAAUUUUAAAAUUCAGUACUCUCGAGUCCUUUCGGCGAUAUAAAGAGAAAAUCACAAAAUAGCAAAGUAAAAUUAUAAAAUACUGUAAAU
This 217-nucleotide long non-coding RNA is filed under the name Ananas comosus (pineapple). RNAcentral's name for it is "long non-coding RNA (ACOM_LNC032398)". The record is from RNAcentral. Lineage: Eukaryota; Viridiplantae; Streptophyta; Magnoliopsida; Poales; Bromeliaceae.